RNAcentral lists this ribosomal RNA (119 nucleotides) under Pteropus alecto (black flying fox). The record is from RNAcentral. Lineage: Eukaryota; Metazoa; Chordata; Mammalia; Chiroptera; Pteropodidae.
GUCUACGGCCAUGCCACCCUGAAUAAGCCCGAUCCUGUCUGAUCUCGGAAGCUAAGCAGGGUCGGGCCUGGUUAGUAUUUGGAUGGGAGACCACCUAGGAAGACCAGGUGCUGUAGGCA